AUAUAUAGAUAUCUACAGCCGUCCCACCACCACUUCCUUCCCUGCUCGCCACGGCUGGAGGGGAGGGGGCACUGUCUCCGCAUUGCUGUCAUUAUCUCACUCCUUGUAUUUGCUCGCAGCUACUUUAGCGCGGCCCGUUCUGCCCGGACGUUUGUCUUCCGCCGCGACCAUACAUAAGCCAGCACAAAUUCCCCUUGUACCGGCGACCUCCCCCUCUUCUGUUGUAUGUAUGUAUCCAUCUCAGCCACCGCCCUUAUACGUUCCAUCUUCUUCCCCGCGAUUAUUCUCUACAUACAGCUGCAGCGAUAGAGAGAACGCCGUGUGUGCGUGCGCGUGUCUGUCGGCAUUCCUCUGCGUUCAAAGGGACGACCGAACCACUGCACAAACUCCUGCUCUCUUCUUCCCUCUUUUAUAUUGUUUUCGGUCUCUUCUUCUGCUUGAUCUAUCCUUUUUUGUGCGUCCUCUUGUAGCGCACCGACGCCCGGGGACCCUCACCUCUCUGAAGUGUUGUCUGUUGUGACUUCUGCUUCCACCGAUUCACUCAGUGGGCGUGUUCCGAGACGCAUACAAAGGCAUUCCGCGUCUUGCCAAAUCACCAUAGAGCUUCCAUCACUAUUACCUCCCUUGUCGUAACACUCCAGACAUCCAUCUGUGCAUCAGAAAUCCCUGCACAUCAGCGUAAAGCACGGCACACAACAGUGUAGACGACAACGAAAAAAAAACUCUUGUGUCCACCUUCCUCAUCUCUGACUGUUGCCUCCAUCAUCUUCCCCCACUCUCCUCCUCCCUGCCCAUCAUCACCGCAACUGCUAACCCUCCCUCAUCCCCGCCCGUCUUUAUUUUGCCGCCGACUCCGCGUGUACUUUUUUUUUCGUUCGUUGCUUUCCUGCCUUCCGUCUUGUCAUUUUGAAUCCCCGCGUAGAAUCGUGCUCUCUCACUCUGUGUGUGUGUGCGUGUGUGCGUGCCUGCCUGUUCGACUGACUGCCUAUCGGGUCCUCUGUGCACUUCUCUCUCGUUCCCUCUCUCCUCCUCAAGCUGAAUGUGACUCAUCGCUGUGAUGUACGACGCCUAUUCUGCGCUUGCUUCGCUCUCUAGCUUUUCGAAUGCCUUCUCCUGUGACGGUGCAGGCCUCCUCCCCUUUCUUUCGCUGUCUUUGCCUUCACGCUCGCCAGUGCUGAAUCCCCUGCUCUUGUUCCUGAAGGCACUGCCGAGAGGCCGUUUUUGUGCGUGGGUUCCCGCACGCUUUUACGUCUUGUUGAUGCCUGUGGGCGGUGUUCACGCAGUUGCGCAUUUCUUCAUGCAUGCGCCUAUGCGUAGCCGUGUAGCAGUUUCCGUUGAGUCUGCCUGCUUUUUCGUUUUUUUUUGCUUCGUUUCGCUUCCUCGGCUUCUACACGCAUACACGGUGCCUUUACACUCCGCACGAACUCUCCUUCCCUUCUUCGCCUGUCGCGACGCCGCCAUCACUGCCUCAUCAUCUCCUUUGCCCUGCCUUCCAUCAGCGCGGAGGGGGGGGGCGCGUCUGUUGUCGAUCAGCUCAUUGAACUGCCUGAGGUGCAUCUUUGGUUUGAGCGGGGUGAGCGCGGGUACUGUCUGGCCACGUCAUCGCCACUCUUCGGUUGGUCUCUCCAAAGCAGUCUUCGGCAAGCCCGUCACAGAAAACGGAAAUAGGAAUGCAGCCCCCUUCACCCUCGUCAUGUGACUCGCCGAUACGGCCUGCUGUUGUGCCUCAUCAGCCCAACACCACUUCUCGCACCCAGGAGGACUCGCCACUGGGGAAGGCCAGUGCAGCGACUCUCGCAGAUGCAACAACCACCCUUGGCCUAAAAACGGAGGCUUUCACGGCCACCAACGCUACCGGAAGCGUCUUGAGUGCCACUUUGCCGCCUCUGCAGGCGGACAAUUCUUUUUUGUCUUCCAUUGCGUCCGGUGGGCCGUCGCCUCGGUCGGAGUGGUCGAGCAAGACGCGGCAGCACGGGCUGCAGCUUUCCUCCUCAUCGUAUCUGUCGCAUCACCACCCCUCGGCGGACAGCGAGGUACAGGAGGGUGGAGCCUCUCCGUCUGUCUCCAGAAGCGCACAAGCGAUCGUGGCGAGCCGCUCCUCCAUUGCACGCCUAGUCGAAUCACAGACCACCGACUGUGACUCCUCCUACGCCCUUUCGCGCGCGAGCGACACGGUGCCGCCCGAGUGCCUCGCCUCCCACCCCCGCUGCGAGGAAUCGUUCGCUCUGCUGAGGUCUCCGUCAACUUGGAAGACGCCUUUUCCGCGGCCGCGGGGCCUAAGGUGAUGCAGCCAGCAUCUACUGCAACGCUCUGCACGCCGCCGAAGCUUACUGGAGCGAAUGGCCACCGCUCUUCUCAGGCGGUGACUCCCGUCGCCAUCGCUCCUGUGGCCACGGCUGCCACGCCUGCUGCCUUCAAAGAUCGAGCGAACUGCAACGACGCAUCCGUCUGCCCGAAAGACGCAAUGCAGCACUCCGCGGAAAGAGGGGACGCCUAUGCACGUCAUUCACACGUGUCACCGCCUUCUACUUCCAGCUCGGCGAGCGGAGCAUCCGAACUGAGCAACGACGACGGCGGAGCCAGCGAGGGCAAUCGACUGGGCACCCCGGCUCACCGCAGCCUUCUGCGACGCUCCCUCUUCGGCAAACCCUCACCGGCUUCGCACACCACGAGCCCCCCACCGUCUCCGACGGCGGAUGCCGCCGCCUCGAACGGAUUUCGCGGCGAAUACUCGCUCUCUCAGCCUGCGGCGCACUUCCCGAGCCGGUGUAGUUCACGUUCCGACACCGCUUUUGUGUCCCCGUCACAGACAGCUCUCCUGACAGGCAUCUCUGACGUGGCAGACACUCGUCAGUGCCAGCAGAACCGGCAGCAAGCGCAGCAAAGGCCAUUGUCGCUCGUUAAGCAGACCAAAGGCAAUCCUACGCCACCACGAACUGCCGUAUCGGAUCAUGAAUCUCUCGGCAGCCCUAUCCACCCACUACAGCCGAAUUCCACGACGGCCUUCGACGAAGAACAAGCAACUGCACCAGCAGCAGCAACGACAGAGUUCCGCAGCAACACAACGCCGUUCCGCUCUCUGGUGGCCUGCGCCGCCGCCGCCGCGAAGGGGCCAACGACCGACAUGGAGACACGGAUGUUCCCUGUUGCCCUUUUGAUCACCGCCCCCGUGCGACUGCAAACCGCGCAGGUUUCGCUGUCCACAGAGUCAUCGCCCGCUCUUGGUGCCAAGGCCUCGCGGGAAGACCUCAGCGACGCUGAAGGGAUGCUGUGGUGCGGUCUCAGCCACCCGGCUCAGUGCACAGCCUGUCCACCACAGAAGAUUGAGGCCACAGUCGAUGAGGUGCUGCAGCAUCUUCACGAAGACUCGGGCGGUGUUGCGGCCCACCCCUGCCGCAACCCCUACAACAGUCCGCACACACCCCGUGGCUUGUCAUCGGUGAGCUGCGCCAGUCGCAGUCUCUCUGUGUCUUCCUCCGGCCUCGCCAGGUCCUACGCGGCCUCCUUUGCUGGUGGGCGAUCCGUUUUUGUCAGUGAGCAAGACGGGACGGCUACAGCGAUCUCCGUUUCCGAAGUGCAGCCCGAAGAGUUGGACCGCUGCAACACUCCCGCAUCGCCGCAUACUCCGUUGGGAAACCGCACGCCUGGCCCUGUCGGACUCCACGACAACUCCACGACACAGUACAGCCUAGGGCACUCGCACUCGCGCUACCGCUCACAGCUGCUCUCCCAGUCUAUCACCCCGCAGAGGUCGGCCCGCCGUGCCUUCUCUCGCCAGACGACCCCGUCACAGUCCUUCCGCUCCAAGGUCCAGAGCCUCAGUUUCGAGUCACAACAGCAGCAGUGCAUAUCCAAUCACGUCAUCGAUCCCAUCAAAGGCGACAGUCAGCUGAACAUGUGUCGAUUCCUGAUCAACGGUGAACCUGCUAGCACCGCAGAGCGCGACUACCUUGCCCCCAGCCGCAACCCCUUCAGCCUGUACCGAACACUCGAGCCGUACGCCACCAACCUCUCGGUGCUCACGCUGGGCGCAGCGCCUGACAGCGCCUCCCCCGACUUUGUUCUCUCUGAGCAUGACCUGUCCGAAAACCAGGCGGCUUUCGCGGCCGCUCUGCAGAGAACGGCCGUCCGCCCCGACGCGGCAGUCGUCCUGUACGAGCAACUCGUACCGCCUCCCUCGAACCCCCCAGGUGCCUCGCACCGCGCGCGGAUGGAAGAGUCCACUGCUCACGGUCCCCCUGCCGCUCUCCUUAUUCCGGACGUCGACACGGAAGAGCGCCUCUCUUUAGCCAACUCCUUCCUCUCCGCGAGCGGCCGCAGAGGAAAACACGGGCGAACGUGGAGCGUCUUGCUCGAACAGUACAAGGCCACCAAACCGCCUGGUGCAGCAGUCGUUGUUAAUGGAUGUGGCCGCCACACAACACCGCUAACGGCGCAGAUGCGAGAUGUGCAGUCGACCGCAGGCGUCAUCCGCACGGAUCCGCAGACAAACGCAGCUCCGUCUUCGUCGUCAUCGUCCCCAGCAGUCCAUCCUGGUGUCUCAGCAAGCUUCGCGCUGCCAGAAAUCGAGCCGCUCACUGUACAGAGUUUCUUCUGCCACGGGGUGCAGCCAACGACGCCGUUGGUGGCCGCCGUCGGGGCGGCCUCCGGCAGCAUACCGCUGCACGGUCCCCUGGCAACGGGAGCCUCUCCGGCCUCUUCCGGCGAGCUGCUCGAUGUUUCGACAAGUACAUCGUCGCUGAAGCAGUCACAGCGGGGCAAGUGUGCGACGAGUGACAGCGCCUCGCCGCUGCCACAACGUCCUACGCAAAACCCAAUCAACAUGGAGUCGCACUCCGAGUCCUCCACGGGCUGCGGCACGGUUUCCGCUGACCGACAGCUGCAUUUUGAGUAUGACGAAGGAGACGAGGAGGCGGCGUGGAGCGACUGCGAUGAGGCGAGCUGUCCCUACAGACCAACUUCCGUUGAAGAGGGGGGAGCUCAGAAGGUGUUGCACGCUCGAAGUCCUCUUGACCUACGCGCAGGGGGUAGCGGCAGCACCUGGAGCAGCCACGGAUCGCCAAACUGCCUUUGUCACACCGUCGCGAAUGCCGGCUUCUCUGCGACCGCGCAGCCGAGUCCUGUAAAGGAACUCAAAGUGCUCCGCGUAACGAGUGCACCCCCUGCGCAGCCGGCGCCAGAGUGGGAGGCGGCCCUCGCUCCAUACGACCGAGAGGCGAGGGGGGCUGCUUUGCCUCUUCCAUCCCUCAGCCUGACCCGGUUGGCAAACCACUCACCACGGCUGCAGUUUCUUCCGCCGGCGCUGCAACGGCGCCCGUCAUCAAGCAGAGAGGUAGCAGAGCUGUGCAUCUCCUCUGAGUCUUCGUGGGCACGUGGGGCACAGGCCCCCGUGGUGGCUGGCGCAAGCGCGAGUGCCCCCUCUUCGGAGCACGCAGACACCUCCGCUACCGCACAGAUCGGCUGCCGCCUGGCAGAGUCCUUUUCAGACCCAUUGGAGGCAAACGACACGAGCGAGGAAGACGUGCCGGGCGAUCGCUUCCAGGCACACCACGUCUUUCAAUUCCUGCACAGAAUCACCACGACUUGUGGAGGGAGCGACGUCCGGGAAGCGAAGCAAGAAGACGGCCGCCGCGCUAUUCCGUUGUGCGUCGAGGUGAACGGCGUCACAUGGCUCGCUAUGCAUCGGCUCAACGGCCUGCCGUAUGCGGUGAAGGAAGUGCCUGCCGCAGCCUUCAACCUUGCCGAGCUACGCUGUCUCACCCUUUCCGUAAACCCUCCGUCGUGCCGAGAGACAACGAACAGGGAGUCCCCUCUGGAGCCGCGGGAUCAGUACUCGGCAGUUCUCACUGCAGAUGACAGGCUGGAGGCGGAAGACUGCAUUGUCCGCUACUACAGUGUCAGCACGCCACCGCAGAACAGCAUCAAUCCAGAGGUCCAUCUGUUGCAGCUGGAGUACUUCCCCCGGGGCUCGCUGUCGGAGCUUGCCAGACGUUGCAGCAGAACGCACGGGGCCUUCUCAGCGCAUGAGCUAUCGUCGUUCUCAGUUGGCGCUGGGGUGCUGAGCAGCCGGUUUUGGCUGGAGGCCGUGACACAGGGCCUGCGAGGGUUGCGGGUGCUUCAUCACGCCGACCUCAUCCACGGGUGUCCGCUGCCACUGUCGCUUUUCUUGUGUGACAACACCCCCUCCGCUGUGCGCUUCAAGUGGAGCUGCUUUGGCAACGCGCGAUCUGACGCCGACAUCUACCCGACGGAGUCGCUACCGGCAUGGGUGAGUGAGGCGGUGUCGCGGCUGUACCGGAGGGCCAUCUCUGGCGGCUCUUCAGUCACGCCGGACGUGAUGGAGGUGGCGGUGUUUUGCUUGGGUAUACUCGAGGUGUUGGUAAACUGCCUCCCCGCACAGGUUCUAAGCGUGCGGCCGUCGCGUGCCUCACAGCGUCUUAGUGAGCUGGACUGGAUCGAGGUGGUUGUCACGGAGAAGCACCUCGAACUCUACGCAGCGGAAAAAGAGAAUGGCGAGGACAUGCAAGCAUUGGUGCGUCUCAUGCGCUUCUUGUGGGAUGUCUCGAACAGCUACAGCACGGCGGCUCAGGCGCUGGCGCAGCUUAGCGUCCGUGUCGAUCCCGCCGCCAGGGUUGUGGAGCAACUGUACGAGUGCGAGCUGGCUCGCUUGACUCGCCAGCUGGAGGAGCGGCGGCGGCGCCUCCAUCGCCGUCAGCAGCAAGGGCAGUCACAGGCUCUUCACAGCGCGAGCACGGCAUUCUCCUUGCCGACGGACACGUUCUUUCUACGCUCCCCUGCAAUGAAGACGGUUGUCGCCGGUGCCUCUUCGAGGUGCCCCGGCGAGGUUGGCGAGCUGUCAUCGCCGCUGCUGCGCCCGGCCCACGAUCUUGCUGUCACGCGUGCCAGCGUCUCGUCUCUCGGCGCCGCUCCGUCGCCUCCAAAGAGUCGAAACGGGACCCCGCAGCUCGUCUGCUCAGCGCGACUUCCGCUGCAUCACACGCUGCUGACGCGUCCCCUCACCGUGACAGGCAGCCUGUUUCUUCCCUCCAGCACCGCCGUCGCCCCGGCUGCUGCUGCCCCGGCCCCUCCAGCAACUCUGCGGGUUGAGCGGACACUGUCGGAUAUGUCGGGACGAAGAGGCGGCGGCGGGAUGGUGGGACAGCGAACAAGAUCAGAGCUUCACCCCGGCAUACUCAAGGCGGUAAACCACAUGCUCGAGAAUGCGGUGAAGAGCGGUGAAGAUGGUGCAAGAGACGCAAUUGCGGCUCUCUUGAGGCCCGCGGUGGAAUCAAUGUGCCAGCGAGGAUGGACGACCCUGUACGCGGGGGUACCGCUCGCCGUCGCUGGGGUUGUCAGCGUUGACGCACGCGCAGGCACGAGCGAGGCUGCUGAAGCGCUCAUGAAGUCUCUACGGCCAAUGACCUCAUUCGAGUAGUCGCUGUACGGAGCAGUGGGAAGGGGAGGGGACGAACGUUGUUCGCACGUGGAAAGAGAGCACGCAGGACAGCAUUUGGGUGGGUUCAUGCAUGCGUAUACGCGUUCUGGUGUGGUGACGGAUGCAUUGCGGUUGUUAUCAGCGCCGGUCCGAUCCAGCGGAAAAGGCACCUUAUGUGUGUCCACACCACCACUACCACUACGGGUCUCAGAAGUAUCUAUAUUUCCUUUCUCCUUGUUCAAGAGAAAAAAGGGGUUUUGACUGCCCCUUCUGUGCACUGCAUGUCUUCGUGCUAGACACGUCCGACGCUCGUAGUGUCAAGGCAGCAGGAAGACAGGCAGCCGUUGUGCGGUCCCCUGCAGGUGGACUCGGUGCCUCUACUCUUCAUCUGCCCCCGCCUGCCCAUAGAGUAUUUCUAUUCCUCUGCAUGUGUUGGUACGUGCAGCGCUCUUCGCGUUUCCGUUUCUUCCUCCCUUUCGCUCACCCUCGUGUGUCCCUGCCCACGCACAUGGGCGUCUGCACCUCUCUUUGCGUCGUGUGAGAUGAUCCGGUGCCGCUGUUCCCCGCCCCCCUGCGCACCGCCCCAGCAUCAGCGCUGCCCCUCUUUCUGUUUCUUUGCUGGCUCUUGCGUGGAGCGGCGCGUGUGUCCUUUCCUCGUGUCUGCCCCCUUCGUCGUGUACUAUGUUGUGUGUGUGUGUGUGUGUGUGUUUUUGCUUCAUCUCUGAUCUUUCUCUCCUCCCUCUGCGUGCCUGGCAUUGCAUACCGGUUGUUAUCGCGGCCUCACAUGCCUCC
This 8227-nucleotide unclassified non-coding RNA is filed under the name Leishmania donovani. RNAcentral's name for it is "gene:LdHU3.31.0990(CDS-product:hypothetical_prote in_conserved)". Lineage: Eukaryota; Euglenozoa; Kinetoplastea; Trypanosomatida; Trypanosomatidae. The record is from RNAcentral.